UACGUAGGGGGCGAGCGUUGUCCGGAAUUAUUGGGCGUAAAGGGCUCGUAGGCGGUUUGUCACGUCGGGAGUGAAAACUCGGGGCUUAACCCCGAGCCUGCUUCCGAUACGGGCUGACUAGAGGUAUGCAGGGGAGAACGGAAUUCCUGGUGUAGCGGUGAAAUGCGCAGAUAUCAGGAGGAACACCGGUGGCGAAGGCGGGUCUCUGGGCCGAUACUGACGCUGAGGAGCGAAAGCGUGGGGAGCGAACAGG
RNAcentral lists this ribosomal RNA (253 nucleotides) under uncultured bacterium. RNAcentral's name for it is "partial 16S ribosomal RNA". It matches the Rfam family "Bacterial small subunit ribosomal RNA", at positions 524 to 776 of the family's 1533-position model. The record is from RNAcentral.